Long non-coding RNA from Felis catus (domestic cat), 6004 nucleotides. RefSeq lists it as uncharacterized. Lineage: Eukaryota; Metazoa; Chordata; Mammalia; Carnivora; Felidae. The transcript has 8 exons. The record is from RefSeq and is a predicted model, not a curated record.
UCGGGGCUGGAACUCUUGGACUGUGACAUCAUGACCUGAGCCAAAGUUGGAUGCUUAACUGACAGAACCAUGCAGGCACCUGCCUACCUCUUCUUAAGAAAGAAAAUGGAGUUUGGGGAUGAAUUCUACUAUUUUGCUUCAAGAUCAGUUUGUAUCAAAAUAUGAGAACAGAGAAUGUUAAGCGAAAUGUGUUAGUAUGCAGUGUGCAAUUCAGCAAGUUGAGAGAACAAAAUGGCCAGACCUUUGUGUCCUUGAAGAUUGGAUUUAGAGUAGAGGGAUUGUAUUGAGAUGAAGAAACUGAUCUCCAGAAAUUAGUCAUUCAACUAAUUAAGAAUUGGAGCUGGGAUUAAAAUCCAGGCUGUCAAAGAAGCAUGAAGUGGUAUCGGCUUGGGGGUUCCAGCUGAAGGUCUGGAGAAUGGUGCUACCUACAAUGGAGGUAGAAGCAAGAUCUCUGAGAUUUGAUGACAGAACACUGGAAAAUAUUUUCAAUGAGUAGAGAUCUCUAAAGAGACCCUGCUGUGACCUAUUGGCAAAUACAAUGCAUUAUUGGUGAGCCUUUUUUGUCUGAACUUGAUGUCUGUCCAGAAGACAAAAACACUGAUUAGGUAGAAGGAGGAUGAAAGUCCUUCAGGAACAGAGUGACUCUGGACCUCAGCUACAAACUGCAGCUUAUUCAUAAAUGUCAAGAAACAAAAGGCUAUAUGCAUUGUCUAAGGAGCCUAAACAAACACCCUGGAGAACAGAGGUUAGCUCUGAGGGCUGUCUACCCUCCUGCUCUAAAUCUUCACAAUGGUGCCAUUCUUCACCUUUCCUUUCUCCUUUGAACAAUCACUGGCUUAAAUUGUACCUGCUCCAGCAAGACAGGUUUGCAGGUUUCAUAAGCCUUCAUGACAAGCUGAAGAUCCAUGAAUAUGCAUGUUUCCAGUCUUCCUCCUUGGAGUCUUCAACAGACUGUUGAAGUCUAGAACCCUGUCCUAAGAAACAUGGACAAGCCUGUGUCUUAACAAAAGCACUAGAUGGCAGCAUAAGACAUCUAUUCAACUGUCUCUCUCCACAGGCUGCUGGAAUUUUGACAGCUACAAAACGGUACCUGUGGUUUUGUGUAUAAAACUGGUAUAACUGUUUGUACAUUUAAAAAAUGUAACAAUAAAUUAAACAUAAGGGAAAGGGGUUGCUAAUAAAUACAGUGUUAGACUGCAUUUUUGUAUACCAGGUGACAAGCUCGGGCAUUCAAACCUGAUUUGUGCAAGGGGGUAGGCAGGAUGGGAAGCAAGUUGAAGGAGCUGCAAAAUGUACAUGCUGAGUGGUUAUAGCUUCCUUGAGGGUUGUUGUUGAUUUACCCAUAUGUCUGUAUGCAUUACACAGAGGUGAAAAUCUAGGAAAGUGAAGGGUACGAUAUGUCUGAAAGUCUGGUAACGAGGGAUUCUAGAUUCUGUGAUUCCCCUAACUCACUGUUUGGAUGCGUGGAAGCUGAAAGUGUGAGCUCAUUAUAUCUGUUUUCCUUAAAAAGGACACAAAUCAUGCCUUUCCAUUCUCUUAGAUCCAUGUAUUAUUUAGAAAAUGGGCCUCUUAAGCCUGCACACAUCCUUGCCUAUAGGACUGGGCUCAGUAGGCACAGUUAUCUUUUUCUCUGUUGUGUAGGUUGAUUCACUUUUUUUGGUUAGAACAAACUGUAGUCUGAGAUGCCAAGGGUAUGAGUUUGAUUCCCGUAAGGGCCAGUUGGCUUGCUGCAGAGAGGUGGAAAACAAAAACUAUUCCAAGGCUAUGUAUAGUAAACCUUGCUCUACCAGCUGUAAUAUUCUUUACCACUCCUAGAAAAAGAAUUCAGAGCACAAGUUCUAUCAAGAUGAUCGGAAGCAUUAUCUUUUUAUUCUUUCUUUCUUUCAACAAAUAUGUAUUAUCUACUAAGUGCCAGGCAUUGUGCUGGGCAAUGAAAGAUCUAAAACAAAAACAACCACCCCCCCAAAAAAAACAUGAUAUAGCAUAAUAUACAUCUUUCUUUAUUACACAGACAAUAAUAGAGGUUACUACUAGUAUAAUGACACAUGACACAUAGAUCCAUAAUAUCUUAUUUGGGUCUCACAAAAACCCUAUUGUUUGGAUCUUUUUACAGAUAAGGAAGCUCAAGUUCAGAAAUAAUUAGAAAUUUGCCUAAGAUCAUAGUCAAUAAGUGGUACACAUGGCAUUUGAAGCUAGGGUUAGGGUUAUUCAUGAACUUUUUUCACUACACCGUACAACUAUAAAGAAAAUGCUUAAUAUAAUAUAAUAUAAUAUAAUAUAAUAUAAUAUAAUAUUAUAUAUAUACAUAUAUAUAUUACCAUUUCAAACUCUUCUGUCGAAAGCAUUUUUAUCUCAGAAAUGUGCGAAAUUUAGAUCAAAGAUUUGAAUUCAAGUACUGCAUGAUUAUUAGUAAAUAAUGGUAGGAAUAAAAUUUACUAACUGUGGAAUAAAAAAAAUAUAAGAUGCCAAGGAGGAACAUUCCAUCUUGGUUUGUUUUUGUCCCUAGUGCUGGUUUACAACUAGGACAAAUGUUCUUUUUAAUAGCAAUUUUCUUUUCAUAGAGUGGACACACAUAUUUCUUCUGCUGAAGGAGUGUUUUCCAUAUAUUAUUUCUUUAUGUCACAUACAUCUUUCUCUCAUUUCCCUCAUUGUUUCCCCUAGGUUUCUGUUAUACUCCAUAAAGUAUGCUCAGCUCCUUGCAGACUGACUGGCAUGUAGUGUUUCCUCAUUUAUUUGUUGAAUAAAUGGAAUGAAUAAAAAUAAAGAGUCUUUAUUUGUUCUCACUUGGUCCAGCCCAAGCCAGGCUCCUGCCUCUUUCCACAGGAUCUCUCCAUUUUAAAAUCAGAAUUUACUUUGAAUCUGAUCUACUAAUCAAAGCUGUCCCUACAUUUUUCUAAUAUUGUAUACUCUCUUGCCACAUGGUUUAGCGCUUGUUUUUGGGUUUUCUGGCAUUGUUUUCUAGUUUCAUGUAAGAGAGUCAUGUUUCUUCAACCAGAGUAUGAGGUCUAGGAGGGCAGUGCUUGUCAUCACAUAACAUCAGUUUAGUUGCUUCUCACAACAUUUGCCUAUUUAAAUCUGUAAAUUCUGUGUGGUCAUGCCUUUUUGUGAUGGCACAUUCUAGUCUAAUCCCAUCUAGAGGCAUUUGAGCAUGAGCAGGGAUGUGGAGAUGCUAUCUUUUGGAAGGUGCUGCACCAGGUGAAAUCAUCCUGUUUCAAUGUGGGCAUUCAGACCAACAAAGAGGCCGUGUUGCUUUAUACCUGCAGCCUGCUGAUUGCCCAUUUUAGUGAUCUAGGUCCAUCAUCUCUCUUUUAGCUAGUCACAAAGGGCCAGUUGUAAACAACCACUGCCCAAAUUGUAUCACAUUACCCAGGAGAUGAGCAAAUGCCAGGAAUAGCCUCAGUUAGAGUCUAGAGGGCUUGCAACUUACAGCCUGUGAUGUAAUCAGAAGCAAAGACCAUAAAAAAGUAGGUUGAUUUCCUUUUACUUACCAUUCAAUGAAAUGAAUCAUUUAAACACUCAGUGAUUUUUUUUUAAAUAAGCUUUUGACAUAGAGAUUAAUGACGUUCCCCCCACCCCAUGCGUUCUAUGUGCAUAAGCCCAAAGUUGGUUUAUCCAUAUGCAAUAUGUUGCUAUCUAUAUGGUCAGAUCUGAAGUACUCUACAAAUGCCGCAGUUUUUUCCCUGCUGGCCUAUUACAGUAUAACCUUUAGCAUCAUUUAUUUUGGAUAAGGCAUCCAAAUUUCUAUGGAAAUAGAUAUUACCUGGCAGAGACAUUAGAAAUUACCAACAAAGAGUAAUUCAUUGGGUCAUUUAAUUUUCACUCAACAUCAGCAACCUCCACCCCCACCCUGGCUCAAUUCCAUCCCCACCACAUAGAAUCAGCAGGAGGGCAGAAAAUGAAAAUUUACCACUCAGAGGUAGAAAGUUCUAAAACAAUCUUUAUUUGAGACCAGAGGUGAAAGGAUCAAAAGUCUGAAGAACCCAGAAGUAUGUAUGUAUUUUUUUUCUUUUGUGGGGUUCUGGAGAAGAGAGGAGGGGUAGGAUCCCAAUUCCACAUUUUUAAUCAGUGUGUUUCCAGGUUGGUCUGAGGUUUGAGGUACAGGGUCACUCCGUAUCGCUUCUGAUCAGCACUUAAGAAUUUACUGAUAAAUGGCUUUCCCAUCAAAUCCCUUCAAACCCUUCAAUAGCUGCUCUUGCCUGCAAGGAUGGGCCUUUCUGAAGGCUCCUGAUGACUCACAUCUCACCUUGCCAGAGGUCCAGAGAAAUACACAUUUUUGUGGUAACUAUGUUCAGGAGAGGACACAGCAAAUAGAAUGGGAGUUAGGGGAAGGCAUGCAGCCUGGGUCCAGUGUCCUCGGUUUUUGUAGUCUUUGUGAUGUUUGUCUGUAUUUCAUCACCUUGUGUUUGUAAAAAUAGCCAUGGAUAGCCUAAUAAUUUUUUUGUAGGUACCACAUCUACAGAAUUAAGAGAUCUGUGGCGCCAAUUAAGUAGUGAAUAUUUAAGAGAUCAGAUCCAUUAAAGUGACUCAGACUAAACUACCUGAACUGCCAAAGAAUCAGCUUUGCUUUUGGUGAUGUGCCAGGAGCUGGACUGUUUUAGUGGGAAGAGUGAGAAUCAAAGGAUUGUGUGUGUUUUUAUGUGUGUGGUGUGGUGAAGAUGGCAGUGGCGGUGUGUGCAUGGAGUGUAGGAGAGUGUGUAUGCAUGGGUCGGCACCUCUGUGUAUCUCUGCGCAUGUAUGUGUGUGUGGACAGUGAAUCUUAUAUUCCCUUGUUUAGUGGAGUGAAUAGGAAUAUUAUUGUAUGGUUUUAGGCAAAUUUUUCACUUAUGUUAUUGGCAUUUCCAAAUAUCUGCAGCUGGGUCAAAUGAAAGCUGGACUAAACUGUACCUUCAGUUAAUCUACUCUGCUAUUUAGUUCUUCUGAGCAGUUCAAAUGUUGAUAGACAAUAUGUGGUCCAGAUCAGACAGCAUGGAGUUCUAGAAGUGGUUUAGGGUUGGGGAAUAGAAUUCUGACCUGGAUAAAUCCUACCUGUAUAACAACUACCUCAGAUGUUUUCUAUGAGGGAAAAAAAACUAGGCAUCUUCUGAAAAGUGCUCAGCAUGUGGCAUCUCAUUUAGCAGGCAUCCAACCAAUGGACCUUCUCUUUCAACCUGGCACAGUGAGCAGAAAUGAUGACUUAGCCCUUUGCUUUUGUUUUUCUAACUUUAGAAGACAUAAUAUAAAUCUCUUUUUGCCAUCCUCCCAAAAAAUUCACUUUAUUUUCCAAAUAGUGCUAGAACGUAGUAACAAAGUGGUCCCAAAUAGCACGCAUUUCUGAUAUGAGGAAAUACUUCUUUAUGUCUACUGUGGGCUCUAGACUUUUGGUGUCUUUGGGUAAUCACAUGACUUAGAGCAAGACUUGCAAGAACUCUAAGUCACUAUUUUUUUCACACUAACGUAAAAAUUACCCUUUAAAGGCCUAACUCAAAUUUUCUAUGUUGGCCCACAGCCAUCUCUCACCUUUGUGAAUUUUGACUGCUACUAGUGUUACAUGUUCUGAAAUAAUUUCUUCCAUGAUAUAACAUUUCCCCAACCAAAUAUUUAGCUCUAAGUGUGCAAGGUGUGUGCAAUACUUUUUUCUGUAGUAUAUUCUACAGUGAAAAUGUUUAUUGACUGGUGGAUGACAUUGGUGAUUUCAUUUUCUAGGGAGUAAUUAUCCAAAACGUAGACUACCACAUUUGGAUCUCUUGCUUUUUCUUCUUCCUUCACUACUUUACCUAUUGUAAGCCCCCUCCCUACUCCAUCCUCUGUACCCCCAGACAAUGGACAGGACAGAGGAAAUUUAAUCUGGUAUCUUGGUCCACUCUUAGAUGAAAGAAUUUGAGAAGCGAUUGCCUACAAUGAGAUUUUUGAGUUCUCCAAAUUAUCCAUGCAUUCUUUUUUUUUUAUUAUUUAUUUAAAGAUAUUUUUAAAUAUUUGUUUAUUUUUUGAGUGAGAGAAACAGAGCAUGAGUGGGAGAGGGGUAGAG